GAGUUUGAUCCUGGCUCAGGAUGAACGCUGGCGGCGUGCUUAACACAUGCAAGUCGAGCGAGAGCUAUCAAUUGGAGGACUUCGGUUCAAAGAGAGAUAAGGAAAGCGGCGGACGGGUGCGUAACGCGUAGGUAAUCUGCCCAUAUCAUCGGGAUAACACAACGAAAGAUGUGCUAAUACCGAAUAAAAUACAUUUAUGGCAUCGUAGAUGUAUCAAAGUGUUAGCGGAUAUGGAUGAGCCUGCGUCUGAUUAGCUAGUUGGUGGGGUAAAGGCCUACCAAGGCAACGAUCAGUAGCCGACCUGAGAGGGUGAUCGGCCACACUGGAACUGAGACACGGUCCAGACUCCUACGGGAGGCAGCAGUGGGGAAUAUUGCACAAUGGGCGAAAGCCUGAUGCAGCAACGCCGCGUGAACGAAGAAGGCCUUCGGGUCGUAAAGUUCUGUCGCAUGGGAAGAUAAUGACGGUACCAUGUGAGAAAGCCCCGGCUAACUACGUGCCAGCAGCCGCGGUAAUACGUAGGGGGCAAGCGUUAUCCGGAAUUACUGGGCGUAAAGGGUGCGUAGGUGGUCUGACAAGUCAGAGGUGAAAGGCAACGGCUCAACCGUUGUGAGCCUUUGAAACUGUUGGACUUGAGUUCUGGAGGGGAAGUCGGAAUUCCUAGUGUAGCGGUGAAAUGCGUAGAUAUUAGGAGGAACACCGGUGGCGAAGGCGGACUUCUGGACAGAUACUGACGCUGAGGCACGAAAGCGUGGGGAGCAAACAGGAUUAGGUACCCUGAUAGUCCACGCCGUAAACGAUGAGUACUAGGUGUUGGCCCAAGAGGGUCGGUGCCGCAGUUGACACAUUAAGUACUCCGCCUGGGAAGUACGCUCGCAAGAGUGAAACUCAAAGGAAUUGACGGGGACCCGCACAAGUAGCGGAGCAUGUGGUUUAAUUCGAAGCAACGCGAAGAACCUUACCUAAGCUUGACAUCCCUCUGACCGCAGGGUAAUGCCUGCUUUCCCUUAUGGGACAAAGGAGACAGGUGGUGCAUGGUUGUCGUCAGCUCGUGUCGUGAGAUGUUGGGUUAAGUCCCGCAACGAGCGCAACCCUUGUCUUUAGUUGCCAUCAGGUAAUGCUGAGCACUCUAAAGAGACUGCCGAGGACAACUCGGAGGAAGGUGGGGAUGACGUCAAAUCAUCAUGCCCCUUAUGCUUAGGGCUACACACGUGCUACAAUGGCUGUUACAGAGGGUAGCCAAACCGUGAGGUGGAGCCAAUCCCACAAAAGCAGUCUAAGUUCGGAUUGUAGGCUGAAACUCGCCUACAUGAAGCUGGAGUUACUAGUAAUCGCAGAUCAGAAUGCUGCGGUGAAUGCGUUCCCGGGUCUUGUACACACCGCCCGUCACACCAUGGGAGUUGGGGGGGCCCAAAGUCAACGAUCCAACCGCAAGGAGGAAGUUGCCUAAGGCAAAACCAAUGACUGGGGUGAAGUCGUAACAAGGUAGCCGUACCGGAAGGUGUGGCUGGAUCACCUCCUU
Molecule: ribosomal RNA, 1522 nt
Filed under: Proteocatella sp. canine oral taxon 058
Lineage: Bacteria; Bacillati; Bacillota; Clostridia; Peptostreptococcales; Filifactoraceae
Description: bacterial SSU rRNA
Rfam family: Bacterial small subunit ribosomal RNA
Source: RNAcentral